CAUCUGAUGAAGAGGACAUAUGAAUAACUCUGCAGUAGUUUUGUCUUUGAAAUGAAGAGCUGGAGAUGAAGAGCUUCUGAGGUUCCUUGUGAAAUGUAUUCUGUGUUUUAUAAGUCUGUCUAUAAAAUAUGCUAGAGCUGAAGAGACAUUGGAAAUGCAGAUGGACAAUUCUCACUCCACACCUUCAACCAUCCACAAAAUUGCUGUGAACAAAUUCUAUUAACCACAAGUGCUGAGAAAACACUUUAAAGCUGUUACACAGAAAUACACCUUGAAAGUGAAUAGAAAAAAAAAUCUCAAGAAAUGCUAUUUACACUAGAAGACUGAAUUAUAUGACAAGCUCAGCUAUUCAAAGAAGAAAAAACCUAGGGGGUGAGACUGCUACUUCUGAUAGCAAGGCUUAAACAAGCUUCGUGAGCAGCUUCUGGGAAGAAAGCAGGGAAAGAAGCUACAGUCUUCUCAUGGGCUGUUUGCACACAAAAGAAAACUGAAUAGAUUUUUUAAGGGCUUAAUGAGUUAAAUUUGUCCACUAUUAUGUCUUUUGGUGUCUUAUGUCUGAUUGUUGGUGCUCUCUUUAAGAAUUGGUAAUUAGAGAAAGGUUUUUGUGAGGGUAAAUCUGACAGAGGAGAGACAAUUUUUUUGUGGCUAGGCAAGUGAGUCUGUGGGAAGGAGGGCAAAUAAAUCUUUGUCAAAGUCCUGACUCCAAUAAAACCCUCUUUCUUUCUGGUUACCUGUAAUAAAAUGUGAAAGCAAUGA
Long non-coding RNA from Parus major (Great Tit), 756 nucleotides. RefSeq lists it as uncharacterized. NCBI's taxonomy places the organism in Eukaryota, Metazoa, Chordata, Aves, Passeriformes, Paridae. The record is from RefSeq and is a predicted model, not a curated record. The transcript has 2 exons.